Molecule: non-coding RNA, 2063 nt
Organism: Oryzias latipes (Japanese medaka)
Lineage: Eukaryota; Metazoa; Chordata; Actinopteri; Beloniformes; Adrianichthyidae
Source: RefSeq, a predicted model, not a curated record
UCCAAAUUAUUAAUUUAUUUGAUAUUGUUUCUGGAAACCAAAGAUUGUCCCUUGCUUUAUUAAGAUAUUUCAAAAUCAAUGCAAGUUCAGAUGUUUUCUAUUAUCCUUUUUAUAAUUUUUCAUCAAAUAAUGUGUUUUUAUUGUUCUUUGAUGCUAAGAUAUCAUUAUCCUCUAUAAGAGUGACGUUAAGCAAAAUCGGACGCAAAUUAAUAAAUGAUGCAAGAUUUAGAAGGGGGGAAUCUAAAAACAAGAAAAGAAGAAUAAAUAAAUUAAACAACAAAUGCAAGAUUGAUUGUGCACUUACAUAUAAUAUAACUUACCUUUGCUUUUAAUUCUCAUUUCACAACAGCUAAUUAACAUAUUCAGAGUCACCUGUGCUGGAAAGUGCUUCAUUUAUGUUUAUUAAUCCCUUUCAACCUUCCCAAAGUUGGUCCACCCCAACAUAAAUAUACAAAAAUAUAAGUGAGGAUCAGAGACUUCAAUUUUUUAAACAAAUAUAUGACAUGUUUUUAUUAAUUAAUUUUUAUUCAUUGCUACUACCCAUUAUCCACAUCAGUCCAUCACCUACUGUGACCUUUCAGGUCAGCCCUGUCCUGUUCCUAAUUGUCCACAUCUGACCUGGUUUAAUCAUCACACCUGCUGCUCGUUUGGAGGACUGUCCCACAGUUAUUUCUUGAAAUGUAAGAUCCUGAAGUCAGUCUCCCUUAUGUUUAAGGGCAGCACUGUCUUAAACAUCUCACUUUGAUUUUUUUUCAAUUGGAUUUCAGGUUUCUGUUUCGUCAUAAGCCUGCUUGUUUUGUCCACACGCACAAAGUUCUGUCUGUCAGUUCCAGCAGUUUCUGUGUUUGUUUCUGUCUGAGGUUGUGAUCCUGUGGGCAUGCUAUCCUCCAGCGCCUGAGUCACACCUGCUCCUCAUCAGCCACUCUACAUAAACUUCAUAUGGAUCUCCAGCAGACGCCAGACAAUUGUUCACCUCUGAUCCUGCCUGCCAGCCAAUCUGUCUGCCUGCCUGCAAAACUGCCAGCCUGCUCGCCUGCCCGCCAUCCUCACUCUGUUCAAAAUAAAACUUGUUACCUGGUAGGGAUGGGAAUAGAAGCACCCUGAAGCUUUCCUUGGGGUUCAUGUAAUUGUGCCGGAAAAAUGAACCAACCAUUCAGGGCUUUGAAACCACACAGAACAGCGGCAUCUGGUGGCAGACUGGACGUUUAUCAUAUGCUUCAACUAGUGAUGGUUGAGUCGACUCCUCAUAAAGCACUGGCAAACUUUGACACAACUGGGCUAAGUUUGAUACUCACUUCAGUUAGAAGUAGUGAUAUGCUGGUUGUCUGUUAAGAACUAUUUGGCUUUUAUUGGUGAUCAUAAAUGAGUGUGGUCAGCAGGAAAAUGAUUCCAUAUAAAACAUUCUUCAUAACCAUUCUGCACAGACACCUGAGCCUUUAAAUUUUUGGUUUUUGUUGUUGUUGUACAUUUGAAUUUUUAUUUUAUUUUGUGGAUUGAUUGUCUUGUGUUGAGUUGCUUCAAUUUUGUUUAAAAGGAGAUAAAAAUGCAAGUAAUUAAAAGUUGAAUUGUCAACAGCUGGUUUAUUUUUUUACAUUUUAUCCUUGGGCAGAGUCUGGGAAUGUGCACCUGAGCUGCAGGAAUUGUAUCCAUUGUUCAUGGUGUAAUUGGUGUUUAAAGGUGUCUUUGUUUCCUUAACCAUAGGUAUUUUAAUUUUUUUUUUAAAGAUUUGUAUAUUUUCCUAAAUUACUUGUCUUGGUCUCCUAUGUCGGAGAGUCCUACGCUUGUCUGAUUUUAGUUUUCUGGUGGCGGCAAGCAGAGGAAACCAUAAUGCCAUGCAGUCUACUGGAAUCACCACUGAGCGACACUUCCGGUUAAAAAAAUUGAUACCGUGUUGAGAAGGUGUCGAGCUAGACAUCUCUGAGGCAGGUAUUUUCUCGUUUGACAUUUUAAAAAAAUUAGGAGUAGGAAAAGUUACACAAGUAAUCUAUUGCAUCUUCAUUGCAUCUUAUGAGCCCACAGCAUGAACAAUGUAGGUUUAAGACUUACAGGCAAAAAAAAAAAAA